RNAcentral lists this ribosomal RNA (431 nucleotides) under uncultured bacterium. RNAcentral describes it as "SSU rRNA". It matches the Rfam family "Bacterial small subunit ribosomal RNA", at positions 26 to 518 of the family's 1533-position model. The record is from RNAcentral.
AGAAUGAACGCUAGCGAUAUGCUUAACACAUGCAAGUUGAACGUUGUUUUCGAGUCAAAAUGAAAACAAAGUGGCGAACGGGUGCGUAACACGUGGGAAUCUGCCAAACAGUUUGGGCCAAAUCCUGAAUGAAUGAAAGCUAAAAAGCGCUGUUUGAUGAGCCCACGUAGUAUUAGGUAGUUGGUUAGGUAAAAGCUGACCAAGCCUACGAUGCUUAGCUGGUCUUUUCGGAUGAUCAGCCACACUGGGACUGAGACACGGCCCAGACUCCUACGGGAGGCAGCAGUGGGGAAUCUUCCACAAUGGGCGAAAGCCUGAUGGAGCAACACCGCGUGCAGGAUGACGGCCUUCGGGUGUAAACUGCUUUUAUAUGGGAAGAUUAUGACGGUACCAUAUGAAUAAGGACCGGCUAACUACGUGCCAGCAGCCGC